RNAcentral lists this ribosomal RNA (494 nucleotides) under uncultured bacterium. RNAcentral describes it as "partial 16S ribosomal RNA". It matches the Rfam family "Bacterial small subunit ribosomal RNA", at positions 28 to 507 of the family's 1533-position model. The record is from RNAcentral.
GACGAACGCUGGCGGCGUGCUUAACACAUGCAAGUCGAACGGUGAAGCGCCUUCCUUUUUGGUGGGUGUGGAUGAGCGGCGAACGGGUGAGUAACACGUGAGUAACCUGCCCCCUUCUUCUGGAUAACCGCAUGAAAGUGUGGCUAAUACGGGAUAUUCUGGGUCUGUCGCAUGAUGGGUCUGGGAAAGAUAUUGUUUCGGUGGGGGAUGGGCUCGCGGCCUAUCAGCUUGUUGGUGGGGUGAUGGCCUACCAAGGCGGUGACGGGUAGCCGGCCUGAGAGGGUGGGCGGUCACCGUGGGACUGAGACACGGCCCAGACUCCUACGGGAGGCAGCAGUGGGGAAUAUUGCACAAUGGGCGCAAGCAUGAUGCAGCGACGCCGCGGGGGGGAUGGAGGCCUUCGGGUUGUGAACCUCUUUCGCCAGUGAAGCAGGCCUGCCUCGUUUGUGGGUGGGUUGACGGUAGCUGGAUAAGAAGCGCCGGCUAACUACGUG